RNAcentral lists this transfer RNA (74 nucleotides) under Elusimicrobiota bacterium. Its description in RNAcentral is "Elusimicrobia bacterium (groundwater metagenome) tRNA-Gly". It matches the Rfam family "tRNA". From Rfam's summary of the family: Transfer RNA (tRNA) molecules are approximately 80 nucleotides in length. Their secondary structure includes four short double-helical elements and three loops (D, anti-codon, and T loops). Lineage: Bacteria; Pseudomonadati; Elusimicrobiota. The record is from RNAcentral.
GCGGGCGUGGUUCAAUGGUAGAACGGUACCUUGCCAAGGUAUAGACGGCGGUUCGAUUCCGCUCGCCCGCUCCA